GGUAUUAUCCAUUUCCCAAAACUUUAUCUGGAACUCAUCACCCGCAGCCAAGAAACGAUUUCUCGUAGUAUCAAACUGCACAACACCUAAUGAACGCUUUCUAAAGCCAGAGAAUGUCCUCUUGAUUGCUCCUUCACUCUCAUUCCACUCUACAAGGUGGGAUUCGCCUUCUUUACUUGUCCCACAAGAGAAAAGUCUGGUUCCAUCGGCACUAUAUGCCAUUGUUGUGCACCAAAGACCAGGAGCAUCAUAAUCUACUCUUGAUCCCAUGCCAUCAUAAAGCCAAGCUUUAAUUUUACCAUCAAUAGCCGUAGAGAAAAUAAACUGGAUACUCUCUUUGUAGUGAGGGCAGACAGAAUAUACAGGAGCUUCAUGCCCCUCAAACAUAUGUUCUCUACGACCACUUACUGCAUCCCAGACCUUGAUUGUCUUGUCAUCCCCACACGUCACUACACAGAGUUGCUUAUUAGGGUGGGAAAAUGCAAUAUCAUUAACACCACCAGCAUGAGCAUCAAUUUCUAGAUGCUGUCUCAAUUCUCCCGCUGGGCUGUAUGUGUAUAUUUGAACAAUGUGCUUUGAAAAGGCAACACCAAGUAUAGAACCAUCUGGACCCCACACGCAUCGAUUGACUGAUACCGUGGCAUCUUUGACCAAAGCUGACUGGAAUGGCAUUGAGCAUGCAGAUAUAUCCCAAACCUUGAAGGACUUAUGCGCUAACCGUUCUCGAGA
Molecule: unclassified non-coding RNA, 729 nt
Filed under: Hevea brasiliensis (rubber tree)
Lineage: Eukaryota; Viridiplantae; Streptophyta; Magnoliopsida; Malpighiales; Euphorbiaceae
Source: RNAcentral